Molecule: ribosomal RNA, 444 nt
Filed under: uncultured bacterium
Lineage: Bacteria
Description: bacterial SSU rRNA
Rfam family: Bacterial small subunit ribosomal RNA
Source: RNAcentral
ACUCCUACGGGAGGCAGCAGUGGGGAAUAUUGCACAAUGGGCGCAAGCCUGAUGCAGCCAUGCCGCGUGUGUGAAGAAGGCCUUCGGGUUGUAAAGCACUUUCAGUCGUGAGGAAGGUAGUGUAGUUAAUAGCUGCAUUAUUUGUACGUUAGCGACAGAAGAAGCACCGGCUAACUCCGUGCCAGCAGCCGCGGUAAUACGGAGGGUGCGAGCGUUAAUCGGAAUUACUGGGCGUAAAGCGCAUGCAGGUGGUUUGUUAAGUCAGAUGUGAAAGCCCGGGGCUCAACCUCGGAAUAGCAUUUGAAACUGGCAGACUAGAGUACUGUAGAGGGGGUAGAAUUUCGGUGUAGCGGUGAAAUGCGUAGAGAUCGUGAAGGUAAUACCGGUAGGCGGAAACGGCGGCCCCCGUGGACAGAUACUGACACUCAGAUGCGAAAGCGUGGG